GAGAAAAAAAAAAAUUAUAAUAUUAUUAUUAUUCGGCUAGCGCACGAAACGCCGGCCGUCGCGAGCGGGUUGGCGGCAACAAUCGCGCGCGCUGCUGUUUUUUUCUCUCUGUAAUCGGCCGGGUGCGGGUGUCGCGGAGAACGUGUGUUUGACCACAUGCGAGACACGUUAUCGAAUCGGUCGGUACAACGAUAUUAUAUUAUUACAAAACGAUAAUACGAGA
Cinara cedri is the source of this 223-nucleotide non-coding RNA. Lineage: Eukaryota; Metazoa; Arthropoda; Insecta; Hemiptera; Aphididae. The record is from the annotation of a GenBank genome assembly.